GGGGUCUUAGCUAGUCUACCAAGCGAACGACUUUUAGUUUGCCCCCCCGAAACUAAGUGAGCUACUUCAAAGCAGCUGUAAGAGCUAACCCCUCUCUGUCGCAAUAGAGUGGGACGACUUUUAAGUAGAGGCGACAAACCUACCGAACUUAGAGAUAGCUGGUUAUUUAAGAAAAGAAUUUAAGUUCAGCCCCAAGCCUCUUUUUAUCAAAAAAAUUUCCUCAGACUUGGGAGUUACUCAAAUAAGGCACAGCUUAUUUGAAACAGGACACAACCUAGAAUACUGGGUAAAACAAUUGAAAUUGUGGCAAGUGGGCCUAAAAGCAGCCACCUUCAAAAAAGCGUCAAAGCUUACCAACAACAACUUCCUAAUAACCUCAACAAUUUUUAUCCCACAUAUCCUAUUAAAUUACCCCAUACAACUAUGGGAGCUAUAAUGCUAGAACGAGUAACAAGAAAAAGACUUUCUCCAAAAUGUAAGCUUAAGCCGCAAUGGACCAACCGCCGGCAAUCAACGCCUCUGAGCUAAUUUUAGUAACACUAACAAGAAAACCCUAAAAGCCUCAACGUCAACCUUACACUAGUACAUUUAUGGAAAGAUUAAAAGAGGGGGAAGGAACUCGGCAAAUAUUGAUCCCGCCUGUAUUCAAAAAAAAACACAUGGAA
RNAcentral lists this ribosomal RNA (665 nucleotides) under Boophis reticulatus. RNAcentral's name for it is "partial 16S ribosomal RNA". The stretch from base 1 to 442 matches the Rfam family "Bacterial large subunit ribosomal RNA", at positions 668 to 1300 of the family's 2925-position model. Lineage: Eukaryota; Metazoa; Chordata; Amphibia; Anura; Mantellidae. The record is from RNAcentral.